CUACGGGGGGCUGCAGUGGGGAAUAUUGCACAAUGGGCGCAAGCCUGAUGCAGCCAUGCCGCGUGUAUGAAGAAGGCCUUCGGGUUGUAAAGUACUUUCAGCGGGGAGGAAGGGAGUAAAGUUAAUACCUUUGCUCAUUGACGUUACCCGCAGAAGAAGCACCGGCUAACUCCGUGCCAGCAGCCGCGGUAAUACGGAGGGUGCAAGCGUUAAUCGGAAUUACUGGGCGUAAAGCGCACGCAGGCGAUUUGUUAAGUCAGAUGUGAAAUCCCCGGGCUCAACCUGGGAACUGCAUCUGAUACUGGCAAGCUUGAGUCUCGUAGAGGGGGGUAGAAUUCCAGGUGUAGCGGUGAAAUGCGUAGAGAUCUGGAGGAAUACCGGUGGCGAAGGCGGCCCCCUGGACGAAGACUGACGCUCAGGUGCGAAAGCGUGGGGAGCAAACAGGAUUAGAUACCCGAGUAGUC
This 464-nucleotide ribosomal RNA is filed under the name uncultured bacterium. RNAcentral describes it as "partial 16S ribosomal RNA". It matches the Rfam family "Bacterial small subunit ribosomal RNA", at positions 339 to 795 of the family's 1533-position model. The record is from RNAcentral.